AAAUUGAAGAGUUUGAUCAUGGCUCAGAUUGAACGCUGGCGGCAGGCCUAACACAUGCAAGUCGAACGGUAACAGGAAGAAGCUUGCUUCUUUGCUGACGAGUGGCGGACGGGUGAGUAAUGUCUGGGAAACUGCCUGAUGGAGGGGGAUAACUACUGGAAACGGUAGCUAAUACCGCAUAACGUCGCAAGACCAAAGAGGGGGACCUUCGGGCCUCUUGCCAUCGGAUGUGCCCAGAUGGGAUUAGCUUGUUGGUGGGGUAACGGCUCACCAAGGCGACGAUCCCUAGCUGGUCUGAGAGGAUGACCAGCCACACUGGAACUGAGACACGGUCCAGACUCCUACGGGAGGCAGCAGUGGGGAAUAUUGCACAAUGGGCGCAAGCCUGAUGCAGCCAUGCCGCGUGUAUGAAGAAGGCCUUCGGGUUGUAAAGUACUUUCAGCGGGGAGGAAGGGAGUAAAGUUAAUACCUUUGCUCAUUGACGUUACCCGCAGAAGAAGCACCGGCUAACUCCGUGCCAGCAGCCGCGGUAAUACGGAGGGUGCAAGCGUUAAUCGGAAUUACUGGGCGUAAAGCGCACGCAGGCGGUUUGUUAAGUCAGAUGUGAAAUCCCCGGGCUCAACCUGGGAACUGCAUCUGAUACUGGCAAGCUUGAGUCUCGUAGAGGGGGGUAGAAUUCCAGGUGUAGCGGUGAAAUGCGUAGAGAUCUGGAGGAAUACCGGUGGCGAAGGCGGCCCCCUGGACGAAGACUGACGCUCAGGUGCGAAAGCGUGGGGAGCAAACAGGAUUAGAUACCCUGGUAGUCCACGCCGUAAACGAUGUCGACUUGGAGGUUGUGCCCUUGAGGCGUGGCUUCCGGAGCUAACGCGUUAAGUCGACCGCCUGGGGAGUACGGCCGCAAGGUUAAAACUCAAAUGAAUUGACGGGGGCCCGCACAAGCGGUGGAGCAUGUGGUUUAAUUCGAUGCAACGCGAAGAACCUUACCUGGUCUUGACAUCCACAGAACCCUGUAGAGAUACGGGGGUGCCUUCGGGAACUGUGAGACAGGUGCUGCAUGGCUGUCGUCAGCUCGUGUUGUGAAAUGUUGGGUUAAGUCCCGCAACGAGCGCAACCCUUAUCCUUUGUUGCCAGCGGUCCGGCCGGGAACUCAAAGGAGACUGCCAGUGAUAAACUGGAGGAAGGUGGGGAUGACGUCAAGUCAUCAUGGCCCUUACGACCAGGGCUACACACGUGCUACAAUGGCGCAUACAAAGAGAAGCGACCUCGCGAGAGCAAGCGGACCUCAUAAAGUGCGUCGUAGUCCGGAUUGGAGUCUGCAACUCGACUCCAUGAAGUCGGAAUCGCUAGUAAUCGUGGAUCAGAAUGCCACGGUGAAUACGUUCCCGGGCCUUGUACACACCGCCCGUCACACCAUGGGAGUGGGUUGCAAAAGAAGUAGGUAGCUUAACCUUCGGGAGGGCGCUUACCACUUUGUGAUUCAUGACUGGGGUGAAGUCGUAACAAGGUAACCGUAGGGGAACCUGCGGUUGGAUCACCUCCUUA
Molecule: ribosomal RNA, 1542 nt
Filed under: Escherichia coli
Lineage: Bacteria; Pseudomonadati; Pseudomonadota; Gammaproteobacteria; Enterobacterales; Enterobacteriaceae
Description: bacterial SSU rRNA
Rfam family: Bacterial small subunit ribosomal RNA
Source: RNAcentral